Molecule: ribosomal RNA, 499 nt
Filed under: uncultured bacterium
Lineage: Bacteria
Description: partial 16S ribosomal RNA
Rfam family: Bacterial small subunit ribosomal RNA
Source: RNAcentral
GACGAACGCUGGCGGCGUGCCUAAUACAUGCAAGUCGAGCGAAGUUUUUCUGGUGCUUGCACUAGAAAAACUGAGCGGCGAACGGGUGAGUAACACGUAAAGAACCUGCCUCAUAGACUGGGACAACUAUUGGAAACGAUAGCUAAUACCGGAUAAUAGUAUUUCUCGCAUGAGAGAUAUUGAAAAGUUGGUUAUGCUAACACGAUGAGAUGGCUUUGCGGUGCAUUAGCUAGGUGGUGGGGUAAAGGUGCACCGAGGCGACGAUGUAUAGUCGACCUGAGUGGUGGAUCGCCCACACUGGGACUGGAACACGGCCCAGACUCCUACGAGAGGCAGCAGUAGGGAAUCUUCCGCAAUAGUCGAAAACCUGACGGAGCAACGCCGCGUGAGUGAAGAAGGAUUUCGGUUCGUAAUGCUCUGUUGUUAGGGAAGAAUGGAUAUGUCGUAACUAUACAUGUGAGAGACGGUACCUAGUCAGAAAGCCACGGCUAACUACGUG